This is an RNA transcript of Stegodyphus dumicola, 606 nucleotides long. RefSeq lists it as uncharacterized. The record is from RefSeq and is a predicted model, not a curated record. Lineage: Eukaryota; Metazoa; Arthropoda; Arachnida; Araneae; Eresidae.
UUAUAGGUUUUCGAGCUCAGCCAGCCCAGCCCAGCCUAGCCACCAUUUUUCAUCAUGAAGGAUUUUGGAUUUGUAGUUUUAGUGGCUGUACUUAAGUAUUCCGGCACUUUGUGAACUUCCUAGAGUGAUUGACUUCCCGAGAUUGAAACUGCCUGCCUGUAAGAAAGGCUUCUCAUGUGGUUAUAUAGCAACCGACGAAUACAGGGCCAUCGAACUUUCCAUUAAAGAGCCUUGCAUUCAAAGCGAUUGAUACAGUACCUCGGUUUCGUCUAAUUGUCGCAGAGCACGAGAAGACUAUCUGCCUAAGGGUAGGGAUGCAUUCGUGGAGGCCUCUUUAAGAGAAACUGGCUGGUAUACGCGUUAGACACCGGGAAAACUACGAAAAUGCCAUUUCAGCCAGCUCGUUUACUGGAACUCGCACCCCGAAUCGAACUACCAGUGUUCAGAGAUUUUACCGCUCGGCCGCUGGUAAGCCCUACUGAACGUUGUACUUUGUUUAGAAACUUACCACAAGUUGAUUUUCGAUAAUUAACCUUUCGAAUAAAAUUAAGUUGAAUUAAAAUAGUAUUCUUUACAUUUAUAUCUAUUUUUAUUACAUAAGACUGA